AUUGAACGCUGGCGGCAGGCCUAACACAUGCAAGUCGAGCGGAUGAAGGGAGCUUGCUCCUGGAUUCAGCGGCGGACGGGUGAGUAAUGCCUAGGAAUCUGCCUGGUAGUGGGGGAUAACGUCCGGAAACGGGCGCUAAUACCACAUACGUCCUGAGGGAGAAAGUGGGGGAUCUUCGGACCUCACGCUAUCAGAUGAGCCUAGGUCGGAUUAGCUAGUUGGUGGGGUAAAGGCCUACCAAGGCGACGAUCCGUAACUGGUCUGAGAGGAUGAUCAGUCACACUGGAACUGAGACACGGUCCAGACUCCUACGGGAGGCAGCAGUGGGGAAUAUUGGACAAUGGGCGAAAGCCUGAUCCAGCCAUGCCGCGUGUGUGAAGAAGGUCUUCGGAUUGUAAAGCACUUUAAGUUGGGAGGAAGGGCAGUAAGUUAAUACCUUGCUGUUUUGACGUUACCAACAGAAUAAGCACCGGCUAACUUCGU
This 483-nucleotide ribosomal RNA is filed under the name uncultured bacterium. RNAcentral's name for it is "partial 16S ribosomal RNA". It matches the Rfam family "Bacterial small subunit ribosomal RNA", at positions 30 to 506 of the family's 1533-position model. The record is from RNAcentral.